UGCUGUUUUUUUUUUUCAUUCUGAAUAAAUGUAUAUCUAUAUUUGUCCCGGUCUCCAAGGUUUUAUGGUCUAUAAGAUAAGAUAAGAUAAGAUCAUAUAUAUUUUAACCGGACGACAUCAUAUGACAUCAGUUGGUCAUAGAACACCUUGUGUUACAACCACACAACACAUGUAUUAUGGCUUUUUCUGGCAUUUUAACAAAUACAACAGCUUCUUGAUGCUUUACAUACAAUCACGAUUUGUAGUGUAAUUGAUUUGUUCUGUGGUGUUGUUUUAUUUUCUGAUAACUUAGGUACCGGUGCAGGGACAGUGGUAAACAUUUCAGUACUAGUAUCUACACAGUUGGUGAAUUGGCGACAAAAUUGCUGUUGACUGCAUUUUGUUAUAUAUAAUAUCAUGUUCAAAAAAGGUUUCCAAAAAUUGUUUGUGUUGUUUUGAUACUUG
RNAcentral lists this long non-coding RNA (444 nucleotides) under Mytilus galloprovincialis (Mediterranean mussel). The record is from RNAcentral. Lineage: Eukaryota; Metazoa; Mollusca; Bivalvia; Mytilida; Mytilidae.